GGUUUGCAAACUACCCCAAUCCUCAUCAAAAUCAUCUAUGUUGGCGUUUGAAGACAAAUCCGGAGUGCGGCAGGCGGUCGUCCGCGGAGGAGUAAAAUGCAUCAUAAAAGUCCAGACAGACACGUCCGCCUGAAGAAGAUAUUUUAUAUCCAGUAGAUGAUGACAAUAUGGAUAUAUGGAUGUCAAUGGCUCGGUGGUCAGAAAAUGGUGAAGGUAAAAUGUUUGUUUAAAUAUUUCCUAAUUCAUUAGAAAAAAAGGCAAAAAUCAGUUUGUGACUGAUUUGAAAAGGUGCUAUUGUUCCAUGUAAAAGGUCUUUGAAGUGGACGGGUCAUUUUCUAAACAUCUGCCCAGUCACAUUCCUACAUAAAGUCCUUCAGGUAAGAAUUACCACUGGCGGAAUGAUGUGGAGGCCAUCUGUCCAUGCUGCUACCCAGUAUGUCAUUAAGGGCUCCUCCCAAAAUUCAGAAUGCAUUAUGAAAGUGUCAGGUUUCGCGGGUGAGGACGGGCAGGCUGGCAGGAAGGAGGCAGGGAGGACGAGGCAGACAGGCGAAAUACGGGGAAAACUGGGGAUUUAUUAAGGGAGAGACGGCUAUGGGGAGAACAGGACAUUGUGUAAUGAGGUGGAGCUGGAGGGUGCGAUCUGGUUGGGGCAUGGUAAUUUCAUUAACCUGGCUGCAACAAUUAAGCAAUCAGCACGCGUAUAUAGGACCCGGUUGUGGUUGCGUGUGUGACUGAUUUGCAAGCGUGACGUGACUCUCCGUGCGCUAGUAUCUCCUUUUCCGGAAGUUGUGGCUAUAUCCAACGCUGCAGGUAGGGCAUCAGUGGACGGGGUCGUUUGCUUGCUGUAUGGGUGGUUGUAAUGUGCUUUGGUAUCUUUCUUACAGUUGCAAGGGCUUGGUAAAUCUAGCAGCUUGCGGUUGCUUCCGCUUUUAAGGUUUUCCAACUUUUACCGCGUGUAAUCUGCCAGGUAUGUCUCGUCUCCUUUUACCAACGUUUGGGUAGUAGGGGCAUACCUAAUACUGUGUUUGUAUUUGUAGUGGAUCGCGACUUGGAGUGUCCCGGACCGACGUGAGCCAGACCAUCAACGGGAUACUAAGUCACUACAAUUGCUGCUGUUUUGCCCGGAUGUUUUAUGUUUUGUUUCAUGUUUUAAUUGGUUUUAAGUAUUAAUGUGUUUUAUUUAUUGGAUGUAAAUUGGGGGGGUGUCGUUGGGAAGGUUUGGUGCUGGGCGGUGAGGAUCCGUGUCGGGCGAUACCGCGCUGCGUGGUCGCGUUGCGUUCUUUUAGCCCACCCCUUGGGUGGAUGUACGUGCGGCAUGUGCUGCGGGACCCCUUAGAGUGUUGUCUGACUGUACGCCUCCCAUUCCCCUCCCGACAACAGCUGCCUGGUUUGGGUUUCCUCUUUUUGUCGUGUGAUUGGAGUGUUUUAAACAUGAUUCGAUUUGUAUUUGUGCUGUGAUUUUGGUUUUGUAAUUUGCUGUUUG
This is a long non-coding RNA of Brienomyrus brachyistius, 1483 nucleotides long. RefSeq lists it as uncharacterized. The record is from RefSeq and is a predicted model, not a curated record. Lineage: Eukaryota; Metazoa; Chordata; Actinopteri; Osteoglossiformes; Mormyridae. The transcript is spliced from 3 exons.